AUAUCAAUAAGCGGAGGAAAAGAAACCAACAGGGAUUGCCCUAGUAACGGCGAGUGAAGCGGCAACAGCUCAAAUUUGAAAUCUGGCGUCUUUGGCGUCCGAGUUGUAAUUUGCAGAGGGCGCUUUGGCAUUGGCAGCGGUCCAAGUUCCUUGGAACAGGACGUCACAGAGGGUGAGAAUCCCGUACGUGGUCGCUAGCCUUUACCGUGUAAAGCCCCUUCGACGAGUCGAGUUGUUUGGGAAUGCAGCUCUAAAUGGGAGGUAAAUUUCUUCUAAAGCUAAAUACUGGCCAGAGACCGAUAGCGCACAAGUAGAGUGAUCGAAAGAUGAAAAGCACUUUGGAAAGAGAGUUAAAAAGCACGUGAAAUUGUUGAAAGGGAAGCGCUUGCAGCCAGACUUGCCUGUAGUUGCUCAUCCGGGUUUUUACCCGGUGCACUCUUCUACGGGCAGGCCAGCAUCAGUUUGGGCGGUUGGAUAAAGGUCUCUGUCAUGUACCUCCUUUCGGGGAGAUCUUAUAGGGGAGACGACAUGCAACCAGCCUGGACUGAGGUCCGCGCAUCUGCUAGGAUGCUGGCGUAAUGGCUGUAAGCGGCCCGUCUUGAAACACGGACCAAGGAGUCUAACAUCUAUGCGAGUGUUUGGGUGUCAAGCCCGAGCGCGUAAUGAAAGUGAACGGAGGUGGGAACCUUUCGGGGUGCACCAUCGACCGAUCCUGAUGUCUUCGGAUGGAUUUGAGUAAGAGCAUAGCUGUUGGGACCCGAAAGAUGGUGAACUAUGCUUGAAUAGGGUGAAGCCAGAGGAAACUCUGGUGGAGGCUCGCAGCGGUUCUGACGUGCAAAUCGAUCGUCAAAUUUGGGCAUAGGGGCGAAAGACUAAUCGAACUAUCUAGUAGCUGGUUCCUGCC
This 904-nucleotide ribosomal RNA is filed under the name Epicoccum mackenziei. Its description in RNAcentral is "partial large subunit ribosomal RNA". It matches the Rfam family "Eukaryotic large subunit ribosomal RNA", at positions 40 to 962 of the family's 3401-position model. The record is from RNAcentral. Lineage: Eukaryota; Fungi; Ascomycota; Dothideomycetes; Pleosporales; Didymellaceae.